Molecule: ribosomal RNA, 216 nt
Filed under: Glomeromycotina sp.
Lineage: Eukaryota; Fungi; Glomeromycota
Description: partial small subunit ribosomal RNA
Rfam family: Eukaryotic small subunit ribosomal RNA (bases 40-216)
Source: RNAcentral
GGGUCAUUAGGUUGGUCGUGCCACCGGUACGUACUGGUCUCACUGAUUCCUCCUUCCUGAAGAACCGUAAUGCCAUUAAUUUGGUGUUGCGGGGAAACAGGACUGUUACUUUGAAAAAAUUAGAGUGUUUAAAGCAAGCUAACGCUUGAAUACAUUAGCAUGGAAUAAUGAAAUAGGACGAUCGAUCCUGUUUUAUUGGUUUCUAGGAUUGACGUA